UAGCCGUAAACGAUACUCGCUAGGUGUCGGCCACGGUGCGACCGUUGUCGGUGCCAUAGGGAAGCCGUGAAGCGAGCCACCUGGGAAGUACGGCCGCAAGGCUGAAACUUAAAGGAAUUGGCGGGGGAGCACCACAACGGGUGGAGCUUGCGGUUUAAUUGGAUUCAACGCCGGAAAUCUUACCGGGACCGACAGCAACAUGAAGGCCAGGCUGAAGACUUUGCCGGAUUAGCUGAGAGGAGGUGCAUGGCGUAGUCGUGU
RNAcentral lists this ribosomal RNA (261 nucleotides) under uncultured archaeon. RNAcentral's name for it is "partial 16S ribosomal RNA". It matches the Rfam family "Archaeal small subunit ribosomal RNA", at positions 748 to 1009 of the family's 1478-position model. The record is from RNAcentral.